Long non-coding RNA from Gasterosteus aculeatus aculeatus (three-spined stickleback), 2685 nucleotides. The record is from Ensembl. Lineage: Eukaryota; Metazoa; Chordata; Actinopteri; Perciformes; Gasterosteidae.
CAGGCAGCGGUCCAGCUCCUUGUACGAGCGCGAUCCCGGCGACAGAGCUCCGAUUAGUGCUGAUGUCGGUGCGUCGGGAACCAAUCUGGUGCCAAGCUCCGCCUCUUCCGCGACGACCAAUCGCGUCGAGGGAACGGCCGGCGUGGACACGCCUCCCCCCGGCGCAUUUCGACAGAAUGGAAAACUGUUUCCGGUUGCUUUCGUCGUGUUGGUUGGGGGAAACCAACAGGGACGUGUGCCAAAUGACAUUCUUAAACAUCAAUUUGCUGCUCUCAUUCCUUGAGUGAAAGCCAAUCAGAGAAGGGUACAAACGGAUGGAGAUUUGUGUUUUUAUUUUAUUUUUUCAAGAGUACAUUUCUAAUGAUUAAGGUGGAUAUUUAGUUUAUGGAUGAAAAAAAUGAAUAUAAUAUUGUAUCUGCUCAAAAAGUGCCUCAUUUUCAGAUUGUAGCCAUUUUACAAAGAACUUCAAAACGGAAGUUUUUAUGUUUUUUUCGUGCUUGAUUUAAUGUAAAAAAAUGCAGCAGUAGAUAAAGAUAAAAGGGUGUGAGCUUCUGCUGCGUGCGUCGUCACAACGGAUGAUUCUGAUACCUGCAACCCGCGGGGAUCAGUUGAAAAUGACUGCAUGUUGAAUAUAACGCAACAUCCGUCAAAUGUACUUGUGCGUUGUCGCGUCUAACUUUCAGAAGUUGGAAACUGGAAAACACAAUAAAUCCGAUGCGACGUGAAUGGGGCAUUUUGCUAACGUUAACAAUGAUAAUGGUACUAGCCGAUCUGCUGGCCUUCCUGCCUACUGUGAGAAACGUUAGCAUAGCCUGUGUUAACAUUCGGCUCCCAUUCGGUCGUUUUAUCUUCCCGUUGACUUUUUUUUAACAAAGCCAUACACCUAGAAUAUUAAACACAGGCGUGAAGCGAAGGGGAAUACGGUAGCUCGCCAGUUAGCUUAAGCCACCCAGGUCAGAUUAGCCUAUUAGCAGGUUGCCAGGACAUAAAUUCGGCAUCCUGCUGAGUCACAGCUCGGGUUGAGACCCCUGACACGGAGCCACGGUAUCCCAUUAGCGCUAUUAGCUCCAGACACUUGUGUACGACUUAGUCCACUUUGUCUCAGGAGGGUAAAUGACCUUAGGUACUUACAGCGGAGGAUAGGGACCCUAUCAAUAGCCAUGCUGAUGCUACCCUCUUAGCACGGGGGAAAAGGAGGUCGCCUUAUAUCUCAAUUCAAUGCUACGUAAUGACAAAAUGGAUCCGCUAAGUUGUUCUCAGUUAUUUUGUACAUUAAGGUACUAAAGUUGAAGAUUAUACACUUUUUAUAAGUUAUAAUUUUGAAACGGGUUGGACUCAAGGUGCUUUGACCGUAAAUCCGUCUUAAAAGGCUCCGUUUCCAUCUUCGUCCCUCCAUUCAGUUCUUUUGCUCAGCUCUCACUUCAAUCUCCGCUAUGCAUCAGCACUAAAGUGCCUGUCUCUCCCUUCCCCUGCUUAGCAGCUAGUACCAAUAGCGCUGUCCUAGCACAAUAUAUGAUCAAGUCUAUUUUCGUGUCUCUUUUUGUCUCUUUCGGCUGCGCAGUUGUCAAGAAAUAUCGUGUUCACGUGACAGUGAUCCCUCAGGCGGCUUGACCGAAAGCCACGGCCCUAAUCGGGGGAGAUUUGGACCGUUUCGCUCUGCCGCUAAAGGAGGACUUAAUUGUCGCAGGGCCGUCGGUGCCAAAACCCAACAACAACAACAACAACAGGCUCCGACAGCACCUCAAGAAGCCACCUUCAGCUCGCAGAACUGGACGUAUUGCUUUGUUUUGUUUUUAAAAGUGUAACUUUUUGUGACGUAUCUGCCCUCCCGGUGUGCUCUUGCGAGGCUCGGGGAUAACGUUCAUCGCGAGGCCUCGCGCACGCGCUCUGGCCUUGACUUUCCCAACCGGAGGAAGAAAAAUGUAAAUAAAAAAAUAAUAAUAAUCCAUGUGCAUCAGUGUAGCUCCACGUUUCACUCGUGUGUUUGUCUGCGCCUCUCGGGAAGUUCAUGAACUCGCUCACUCUGGUCACGUGACUGGGGAGAACACAACAAUGCAGCUUUAUCAUGAGCAGAUUGGGAUCCGUGGUUGGAUUUGGCCCUAAUAGCGGUUACUAAUGCAGAAGUGGGGGCGCCGGGGGGAGCAAUUGGACUUCAAAUCAGAUUCAGCAUAUAAAUCACAGACUUUCAUGGGGACUCGCAGGCAAACACAUGAUACUUGAUUUAUUUAUAAUGUCUUCUGGAGAUGUUCUCGUGCUGAAACUCAGCAGUGUUUACGGCCAAGUGCUCGAGGGUUCUUUGUGUUAAAAAAAAAAAAGAAAAGUGUAAAAUCAGGCUUUCGGUCCUGCAAAGUGGACGUCAUCAUCCUGCCAUUUAGAGCCCACAUUGAGUUCUGAGCAACAUUUGAAUGAAGUUUUUAUUUUUUUUCCCACAUAUCACAGACUAAGAGCUCAGACACACGCGGUUCAAUAGUUUUGGAGGCUGCAUGAUUUUAUUCCGAGCAUCGGUUUGCGAGAUGUUCACAAAAUGUGCAGGAAAGCGCUGCUGUUGCUCUACAUUGUUUUUUUCUCUUCCUCCUGUUCCCCGCAGGGAUGGUAUUUAAUGGGAAUGUUGUGAGAUUUGCCAUUGAUGUAGAGAGUUUUACUUCUGUUGCUUUAGGAGAAAAAAAGUAAAAGGACUUGUGGUUU